RNAcentral lists this long non-coding RNA (428 nucleotides) under Malus domestica (apple). Its description in RNAcentral is "long non-coding RNA (MDOM_LNC003621)". Lineage: Eukaryota; Viridiplantae; Streptophyta; Magnoliopsida; Rosales; Rosaceae. The record is from RNAcentral.
CAAAAACAUUCCAAAACCAUUCAAACUUUAGGGAAAUAACAUAUAACCAAACUAGGGUACAUAGGGGUUCCAAAAGUCACUUUAAAACACUUUUAACAAGUCAAACAAGAACCCAAAAAUCCACCCUUUGGAUUUGGCCGAAAAUUCCCAAAAGCAUGGCACCAAAUUAUAGCUCCAAUAUUCAUGCUCAUAUGAACUACAUCUAUAACAUUUGAGAUGGCAAAUUUUUCUAACAAAAUUUACAUUCAAAGAAACAAGAAUAAAGCUUGUAACAUAUUACAACUUUUAAAUCACAAACUAUGAACUACAAAACCCAAAAGGAUUCACCAACUACUAGACCUAAGCUCUGAUACCACUUGAAGGAUUAUUUUGUGAAAACAUGUUCAUUUGAAUAACAUCUAUAGCAUGCAUUUAACAAUUAAAAGGCG